Molecule: ribosomal RNA, 253 nt
Filed under: uncultured bacterium
Lineage: Bacteria
Description: partial 16S ribosomal RNA
Rfam family: Bacterial small subunit ribosomal RNA
Source: RNAcentral
UACGUAGGGUCCAAGCGUUGUCCGGAAUUAUUGGGCGUAAAGAGCUCGUAGGCGGUCCGUUAAGUCGGAAGUGAAAUCUCAAGGCUCAACCUUGAAAUCGCUUUCGAUACUGGCGGACUUGAGGCAGGUAGGGGAAGGUGGAAUUCCUGGUGUAGCGGUGAAAUGCGCAGAUAUCUGGAGGAACACCGGUGGCGAAGGCGGCGUUCUGGACUGCAACUGACACUGAGAAACGAAAGCCAGGGGAGCAAACGGG